ACAUCCUCAACCUCCUUGGUUUGGUUUUUGGACCAACCAAGUAGGCUUGGAAUUUGGAGGUUUUCUGCUGGCCUCCUCUGAAGCCAGCUCCUCUUAAAUGUAUCAGUGGGAUCCACUUUGCUUAGAUCCUCGACGUUGAUAAGAUGUUUCUACGUCUUGGCUUUUGCUCGGGAAGGACCUGCUUCUAACCGUCCCCAUCGGGGACAACGUUCGAGCCGAUCGCCCUUCACGGGGUGGGAAGCUUUUCGACCCAUGAAA
Molecule: unclassified non-coding RNA, 258 nt
Filed under: uncultured Russula
Lineage: Eukaryota; Fungi; Basidiomycota; Agaricomycetes; Russulales; Russulaceae
Description: sequence contains ITS2
Source: RNAcentral